GGUGUGAUAGUGUAGUGGCAACACUCCUUCAGCUGGCCUGAAGGCAACCCGCGUUCGAUUCGCGGUCGCACCA
Molecule: non-coding RNA, 73 nt
Organism: Dothidotthia symphoricarpi CBS 119687
Lineage: Eukaryota; Fungi; Ascomycota; Dothideomycetes; Pleosporales; Dothidotthiaceae
Source: the annotation of a RefSeq genome assembly